Passer domesticus (house sparrow) is the source of this 5068-nucleotide long non-coding RNA. RefSeq lists it as uncharacterized. The transcript is spliced from 4 exons. The record is from RefSeq and is a predicted model, not a curated record. Lineage: Eukaryota; Metazoa; Chordata; Aves; Passeriformes; Passeridae.
AAAAAAAAAAAAAAAAGACCAAUCUAGUGACUGUCUUAGAACAAUGCCAAGUGUAUCAAAGCCCAUUUCUUCUGCAGCUGACUAAUAUACCUGAUGCAUCCUAGAAAAGCUGGCCUACCUGCUUCCCCCAGAGACACAGUCCUGCUGGCUCUCCUUGAGGUUUGAUGGCAACAGUCCCCUUGCUGAAGCCACAUUGACCCUGCUCUAGUGAAAGGCCAUGUAAGGCACCUGAGAGCCUUUAAUGGAAUCCUGAAAGAACCACCAAACUCUCCUUUGCACAAAGGACAUGCUCUGUGGACCCUACAGUCUACAGCACCAUGGAAGGUAAUCAUAAGAGCAUUUUCAAUUUAGUAUUUUGAAACCAUACAUUAACAGUGAGUUAGCUGAUGGUAAUAUGGUUCCUCUUCUCUUAAAGUUACAGGCAAGGCUUUUAAGCCACCUAAGAAUUUCACUCCUGAAGCUGGUAAGGGGACCUGGAGAAUCAGUAAGUUUAAAUGAGACUGGAAACACAUUUGUUUAAACUAGAGACCCACUGGGCCAGGGAAAAAGUGCAAAUGUGCUCACAGCUAGUGACGAAAAUUACCCCACAAAUUUAAGCAGCCAGAGAGAAGAUCCAAGGAAUGGAUAUCUUUAAACCCAUGGAUGGUGAAGGACAAGACAAACAAUUGGGGUCAUGGACUUUUCUUCCUCCAAAGCUGUAACAGAUGUGGCUACAGCAGAGUCAUGAGUGUGCAGCUGCUGCCUGGACCCUGAUGGCUGUGCCCGUGCUCAUUACCAGAGGUCCCUGCUGACCCCUCAGUUCUAGAAAGCACAAUAAGUAAUGGUCUAAAUCCACUUCAAGCCUGUGUGCAGAUUACCCUGAGAGCAGCGUGGGGAUGGUGAUAAAGUCUGUGCUCGGGUGUGUCCUCUGACAGUUCAACUUUGACUUCAUCAAGCCAUUAAAGGUUUUGGGAAGACAUCUGAUAAAAGCAGCUGUUCUCCCCUGAAAGGAUUGACACCACAGAUGCACUUAAUAAUGUUUUUGUUUUCCUGCAGAAGUUGUAAAGGGGGACAGAGAAGAAGGGCAUGUCAAGAUCAAAGCUUUCCUUCCUUUUCUGAUGCAGCAACCAAGUUGAACAGUGAAUUGAUAUGAGCAGCAGGAGACUUCUAAGCUCAGUGGCAUUAAAAGAAGAAAAAGAAAAAAGUAGUCUGGGGACACUCUGAUCCCAGAAGCUCCUGAUCUCCAUCAGUCCCAAAGUAAACAAGAGGGGACAAAAGUCCAGCACUCUCUGCCCACGUGGAUGUCUUCUGUUCAGUGGAAGAAGAAACGGAUGAAACCCAAGGCUGGGACCUCGGCAGCCAUGGUGGGGUGAGGGUGAUGUAUCUGUGCUGCCUUCCCAUGGCAGAGGCUCUGUGGUGGGACCUGACCUCUCUGCACUGCUGCCACAGUCGCUCGCUGCCGCUCUGGCAUGAAAGGACGGCGUGUGAUGAAUCUGUUUGCUCUUGGCUCAUUCUGUAAGAGGCUGGAAGUAGAAGUGCUGAUGCCUGCCAUGUGUAACCCCGCUGUAAGCUCUGCCCUGUGAGCCUUGCUUCUGUCUAACUGGAUGGUGCCAAGGUCCAGAGAAGACAGGGAAGACAGAGCUAAUCUCACCCUCCCAGAAGCUCUGGAGAGAGAAGGAUCACCUGAGCAGAGACAAACUGCUGGUUCAUUCGACUGUUUCCAGGAGGAGAAAACACUUGCCAAGAUUAACUGAGAAAUCCUGAACUGCCCAACAGCCAGCUAAGCUAUGAAGAGCCUGCACACCAGUGUAACAAUAUUUUUUGUUCCAUCUUCACCCAUUGCAGACAGGAUUGUGCCCCUCCCAUCCACUGGACCCUGCUUAGUUUUUGCGGAUCAACUGAGAUCAGUAAAUCUCAGGGCCACAACUCAGCAGCCUCAAAGUGCAGCUUGUUAGAAGUACUAUGAGGUCUCUCAGCUCCCUGUGGUGAGUAGUGGAGCAGACUUGAGUCCACAAAAAUAUGGACAUAUUUUAGCUAUGACCACCCUCUUUAGGGACUGAAGGCAACAGAUAUAUGUUCAAUGGGAAUAAAUGCUUAUUCACAAAUAAAGUUCAGGUAAACUGCAGAGGGAUCUAUCUGCAGGUGCUGGCAGGAUGGAUAACUUCUCCUGAGGCUGCACCUGGAGCCACUAUUGCAGACCAAGGUCUGGGAUUAAAAAAACACUCAGUACUUAUCUGGUAUUUUUUCAAUCUGCAGACUUUAAAGUAUCAUCCCCACUUUCCAGAUGUGAGAAGCCAGCCACAAAGAACUAGUUCAGUGUUGCUGCAUCCUCUACCAUCUUCACAAGCUGAACUUUGUCCUUGUCCAACACCCCUUCUCUGUCCAAGUGCAAAUGACAGGCCCAAGACACAGCAACCAAAUGCUAUCAGCACUUUCAAUUUUCUGUCAUCUUGCCUUUUUAUUAAGGGGGAAAAUGGGAUUUAUUUUUCAGCACUGGUUCCUGGUACAGCUCUUUCAGAGAGAGAAUUUCAGAACAAGAUAUAUCUCCAAAUAUUUAUCCUCCCCGAGGUUUCUAGUCCUUUCUGUUACAGUAAGUAAACAGAUUAAAUUGGAGACUCAAGGUCCAGAUUGAGAAACUGUGGCAGUAAGGAAUGCUGGAAUAAGUAGAUUACAGAUAUUCAAAACAUGCAGUUUAGGUUUACACCUUUCCCUCCUUGUCAUUUCUUCUCUGAACAGCAUUGGGGAGAUUCACCUUUGGAUGUAACUUCCAUAGCAACUUGGUGUCUAUGAGAAAUCAGUAACAAACAUUUGGCACUGCCUAUUGCAAAAUAUUUAGCAUGUUCUGCAGUAAUGGAUAUAGCUUUCUGUUUAUUAAAACAACUACCUUAAAUGCCACUGAGAUCUCACAGAAAGAGUUAAGUACAGUCAGAGCACUCCAAGAUGUAGCAGGAUUUAAAAAAUCACUUGAAGUAUGAAAUAGAAGGGUUGCAUGUGUUGGUCUGGUUUUUGAUUUAAUAAUAUGAGUUUGCUACAGCCCCGAAAAUCAACCUGUAUCUUACUGAAAAGAAAAAACAAACCAUAAAGUUCACUGAUCUUAUAAAGCUCAUACCAAAAAAAUAGAAAUUAGAUUGAAUUUUUUUUUUAAUAUUGGUUCAGUGCAGACAAGAGAAGUGUGAGAAGCAAACAGUUUAUCUGGAAUAGGUGGACAAUAUUAAGAUAACCAGUCCAAUUUGGAGAAGUAGCAUCAAGAAGCUGGUUUGUGGCUAUUGGUACAGCUUAAAUGAAGUACUACAAAUCUGCCUACCUGUUUCAGCCUACCACAACUUACUCUUGGUACUAAAAAUAACUAGAAACACAGCAGAGAAAGUGAAGGAAAAUGUGAAGGAAAACAAGUAGUCUGAGAAAUUCCAUUAAAAAACCUCCAAAUAGUAACAAAACCACAGCCUGCCUGGAAACAGCCCUCUGGGUUUGAAUGGCAUGUGCUAAAGCAGCCUGGUACCUCCACAUCAGUUCAAAGACAAAUGAAUGGUCUAAAAUGUCUGUCCAUGGAUGACAAGAGAAAACAAACGCUGGUAAAGUUGUUCCCUCCAAGGAAGCAAGUGAAAUCAGAGCCUGGCACUGGUGUUAGACAGUGAAGGGGAAGGAAUACAGAGAAGGAAAAAAAAUGAUACUUAGCAAAAAUACUGCUCCUCUAUCUCUGGGCUGAAGAGCUUCCUUGGAGAAACUCUUGCUUUUGAUGGCAGAGGAUGAUAUCUCUUUGGGACAAGACAGGAAAGGAAAACAGCAAAGUCUGUGAUAGAUUAAAACUACUAAACAAAAGAGACUGCUUGGGGAAUUAAUAUUUAUGAAAUGCAAAAAAGAUUGUAGUAAAAUAAGAGAUAACACAGAUCUGGUAAAAGCAAAGUUGUUCUGAAUUAAAAAAAAAAAACAACCACAGACGCAGAGCCUGCAAUCUGGAGCUGUACUAUCAAAAAACCAAUUCCCCACUGUCUUAGGCAAUGUCAAAACAAAAACCCCCACACACAGGCCUGGUUCAAAAGCUAUUGAAGUUAAUAAAAAUUUCCUCUUGAUUUCCAAAUGCUUUGAAAAUGUGACUCCUUGGGAAUUUCUGAUGUUGUUAAGAGACAUAUACCAACACUAUCACCCCUGAAAGAAAUCCUACAGCUCACACCAUGUUACACAGAGAUUCCAUAGGACAGAAGGGGUACAGCCAGAAGUCACCCAGCUUCUCUGCUCAGUAGAGGAUGAUGGUUCAUCCCAAAUCCUGCUGUAGGGCAUUAGGGAGUGUUACGUGCAGUGUUAUGGAGAUGAUUAUUGUUGAAACUGUAUAUGGGAGUUACUGCACCAGUAGCUUCUUAAAACCUUUGAAAAUUUUCCCCAUCAGAGCUGUGACCUAGAAAAGAUGUUUUCACUUCCUGCUGUGGAGUAUCAUAGUGUACCAUACUCAAUGCAGCGCCUGGUCUUGUUUUUGAAGGACAUUUGCUUUAAGGGAGGAAAGUAUUCUAUAAUCCUGAUGCACUUCUCUGUUGAGAAACAUUUCUUUUGAUAUUCUUCUACAGUUAGGCUCCUUUCCCAACCCAUCUCCCCUUAAAUAUACCCAGAAGAUCAUGAAUGUGGAAAUGUGUCAGAAAAGGCUGAAUGAAAACCACUGUGAAAACCUAAAUUCUGAGUUAGUUGCUCUGUAUGUGCAUUUCUUGGAUGGGGCUUUCAUUUUUGGUAGGGUUGUUUUUCAUUUCCAGGCCAUGGUUUGUUCUGGUUUAUGCCCAAGAACUUGCACUAACAAAGCCUGAUGGUUCUGUGAAAGGAGUAUAAACAUAGAUGCUGAUCACCUGAGAAGGCAAAUCUGUACAGGCAACUGCUCUUGGAAAUACUGGCUUCUUUCUGGGCAAGAAAGUGUAAGCAUUCAGAGGGAAAUGCCAAGUCACAGGGCAUUUCAGACUUAUUAAUAUAAUUUAGAAAGAAAAAGAAAAUCCACACUGGGCUAUUAGCAACAAUCAGGUGUUAGAGUGCAGGGAAGAGGCAUAAAACACUGCAUUAAAUUACAACAGUUUUGCUCUACCUCAGAAUAUAAAGUUUAUUUAAUGGCUCC